AGAGUUUGAUCCUGGCUCAGAACGAACGCUGGCGGCAGGCUUAACACAUGCAAGUCGAACGCCCUCUUCGGAGGGAGUGGCAGACGGGUGAGUAACGCGUGGGAACGUACCCUUCGGUUCGGAAUAACCCGGGGAAACUCGGGCUAAUACCGGAUACGUCCGCAAGGAGAAAGAUUUAUUGCCGAAGGAUCGGCCCGCGUCCGAUUAGCUAGUUGGUGGGGUAAUGGCCCACCAAGGCGACGAUCGGUAGCUGGUCUGAGAGGAUGAUCAGCCACACUGGGACUGAGACACGGCCCAGACUCCUACGGGAGGCAGCAGUGGGGAAUAUUGGACAAUGGGCGAAAGCCUGAUCCAGCCAUGCCGCGUGAGUGAAGAAGGCCUUAGGGUUGUAAAGCUCUUUCGCCGAUGAAGAUAAUGACGGUAGUCGGAGAAGAAGCCCCGGCUAACUUCGUGCCAGCAGCCGCGGUAAUACGAAGGGGGCUAGCGUUGUUCGGAUUUACUGGGCGUAAAGCGCGCGUAGGCGGGUUGUUAAGUCAGGGGUGAAAUGCCGAGGCUCAACCUCGGAACUGCCUUUGAUACUGGCAACCUGGAGUUCGGGAGAGGUGAGUGGAAUUCCGAGUGUAGAGGUGAAAUUCGUAGAUAUUCGGAGGAACACCAGAAGCGAAGGCGGCUCACUGGCCCGAUACUGACGCUGAGGCGCGAAAGCGUGGGGAGCAAACAGGAUUAGAUACCCUAGUAGUCC
This 742-nucleotide ribosomal RNA is filed under the name uncultured bacterium. RNAcentral's name for it is "bacterial SSU rRNA". It matches the Rfam family "Bacterial small subunit ribosomal RNA", at positions 8 to 796 of the family's 1533-position model. The record is from RNAcentral.